This 460-nucleotide ribosomal RNA is filed under the name uncultured bacterium. RNAcentral's name for it is "partial 16S ribosomal RNA". It matches the Rfam family "Bacterial small subunit ribosomal RNA", at positions 338 to 795 of the family's 1533-position model. The record is from RNAcentral.
CCUACGGGUGGCAGCAGUGAGGAAUAUUGGUCAAUGGGCGAGAGCCUGAACCAGCCAAGUAGCGUGAAGGAUGAAUGCCCUACGGUUUGUAAACUUCUUUUAUAAAGGAAUAAAGUGAGGCACGUGUGCCUUUUUGUAUGUACUAUAUGAAUAAGCAUCGGCUAACUCCGUGCCAGCAGCCGCGGUAAUACGGAGGAUGCGAGCGUUAUCCGGAUUUAUUGGGUUUAAAGGGUGCGUAGGUGGGUAAUUAAGUCAGCGGUGAAAGUUUGUGGCUCAACCAUAAAAUUGCAGUUGAAACUGGCUGUCUUGAGUACAGUUGAGGUAGGCGGAAUGCGUGGUGUAGCGGUGAAAUGCAUAGAUAUCACGCAGAACUCCGAUUGCGAAGGCAGCUUACUAAACUGUCACUGACAUUGAUGCACGAAAGCGUGGGUAUCAAACAGGAUUAGAUACCCUUGUAGUC